Molecule: ribosomal RNA, 461 nt
Filed under: Pila globosa
Lineage: Eukaryota; Metazoa; Mollusca; Gastropoda; Architaenioglossa; Ampullariidae
Description: partial large subunit ribosomal RNA
Rfam family: Bacterial large subunit ribosomal RNA
Source: RNAcentral
UUAUUUAACGGCCGCGGUACUCUGACCGUGCAAAGGUAGCAUAAUCAUUUGCCUUAUAAUUGAAGGCUUGUAUGAAUGGUUUGACAAGAAUUAAUUUGUCUCUUAUCAAUUAAAAUGAAAUUGACUUUUAGGUGUAAAGGCCUAAAUAUGACUAAUAGACAAGAAGACCCUAUUGAGCUUUAAAGAUUUAUAAUGGCAUAGCUAUAUUAGAAGUAAGAUUAUAAGCUAUUAAGAUUUUUAGUUGGGGCGACUAUGGAACAAAUAAAACUUCCAGAAUUUUGUAAUAUUUGUUGUUAGUUUAUUUAAAUUUGAUCCAAAAUAUUUUGAUUAAUAGAAUAAGUUACCAUAGGGAUAACAGCAUAAUCUAUCUUAAGAGUUCUAAUCGAAAGAAAGGUUUGUGACCUCGAUGUUGGAUUAAAAUAUCCUAAGGGUGCAGAAGCUCUUGAAGGUUGGUCUGUUCG